This 254-nucleotide ribosomal RNA is filed under the name uncultured prokaryote. RNAcentral describes it as "partial 16S ribosomal RNA". It matches the Rfam family "Bacterial small subunit ribosomal RNA", at positions 524 to 777 of the family's 1533-position model. The record is from RNAcentral.
UACGGAGGAUGCGAGCGUUAUCCGGAUUUAUUGGGUUUAAAGGGUGCGUAGGCGGCUUUUUAAGUCAGCGGUGAAAUUUUGCAGCUUAACUGUAACAGUGCCGUUGAUACUGGGGAGCUAGGAUUUGGUUGCUGUGGGUGGAAUGUGUGGUGUAGCGGUGAAAUGCUUAGAGAUCACACAUAAUAUCGAUUGCGAAGGCAGCUCACAGAGCCAAGAUUGACGCUGAGGCACGAAAGUGUGGGGAUCAAACAGGA